UCAGGAUGAACGCUGGCGGCGUGCUUAACACAUGCAAGUCGAACGAUGAAGCUGGAGCUUGCUCUGGUGGAUUAGUGGCGAACGGGUGAGUAACACGUGAGUAACCUGCCCUUGACUCUGGAAUAAGCGUUGGAAACGACGUCUAAUACCGGAUACGAGCUUCCGCCGCAUGGUGAGGAGCUGGAAAGAAUUUCGGUCAAGGAUGGACUCGCGGCCUAUCAGGUAGUUGGUGAGGUAAUGGCUCACCAAGCCUACGACGGGUAGCCGGCCUGAGAGGGUGACCGGCCACACUGGAACUGAGACACGGUCCAGACUCCUACGGGAGGCAGCAGUGGGGAAUAUUGCACAAUGGGCGCAAGCCUGAUGCAGCAACGCCGCGUGAGGGACGACGGCCUUCGGGUUGUAAACCUCUUUUAGUAGGGAAGAAGCGAAAGUGACGGUACCUGCAGAAAAAGCACCGGCUAACUACGUGCCAGCAGCCGCGGUAAUACGUAGGGUGCAAGCGUUAUCCGGAAUUAUUGGGCGUAAAGAGCUCGUAGGCGGUUUGUCGCGUCUGCUGUGAAAACUGGGGGCUCAACCCCCAGCCUGCAGUGGGUACGGGCAGACUAGAGUGCGGUAGGGGAGAUUGGAAUUCCUGGUGUAGCGGUGGAAUGCGCAGAUAUCAGGAGGAACACCGAUGGCGAAGGCAGAUCUCUGGGCCGUAACUGACGCUGAGGAGCGAAAGCAUGGGGAGCGAACAGGAUUAGAUACCCUGGUAGUCCAUGCCGUAAACGUUGGGAACUAGAUGUAGGGACCAUUCCACGGUUUCUGUGUCGCAGCUAACGCAUUAAGU
Molecule: ribosomal RNA, 832 nt
Filed under: Salinibacterium amurskyense
Lineage: Bacteria; Bacillati; Actinomycetota; Actinomycetes; Micrococcales; Microbacteriaceae
Description: bacterial SSU rRNA
Rfam family: Bacterial small subunit ribosomal RNA
Source: RNAcentral